Molecule: long non-coding RNA, 829 nt
Organism: Microtus oregoni (creeping vole)
Lineage: Eukaryota; Metazoa; Chordata; Mammalia; Rodentia; Cricetidae
Exons: 3
Source: RefSeq, a predicted model, not a curated record
GUCCUGGGUUAUAUAAAAUAGUGAGUGGAGUAAGCCAUAAAGCAAGCCAAUAAACACCGUUCCUCAAUGGCCUAUUUCAGUUUCCGCCUUGAAGUUCCUGCCCUGACUUCCCUUUGACGAUGGACUGUGAUCUGGGUUGCAUGAACCUGGACGUGAUGGGGGGUGCUACCAGACCUGGAUAUCUCCCUUAACUCUUACAAUCCUCACUGACGCUGCAAGUGGAUGGGACAGGAGAAACAAGAGGACGAAGAAAGGAGGUGAUAAAUGAGAAACCGAAGAAAGAAGGAAGAUUGAGAAGACACGGAGAGAGGAAGGGAGGAAGAAAGCAUUAGGGAAGGGCAAAGGCAGUUCAGCAAGCAGAGAGCACAGACCCUGCACGCCUCUUCUCAGAAGAAGGCUCUUGGUAGCUUUCCAUGCCUUUAUUUAUCUCCCCCAGCCUUGCACGAAAGCUGUGUGACCCACCACUUCUAUAUUUCAGUCUGCUCCCUGAGUAUCAGGAAGGGUUAAGACCCACACACCAGGGCAGAAUAGAGCUUGUUUACUGCAAGAUUCAUGUCUGGUCCUGCAAGGUAUUUCCUCUGUCGCCCCACAACCCUGAUGAAAGGGAAUACGGAUGCUGCACCAAGGGCAAGGUCACGGUGAGGCAUGCAAAUUGGCGUUGUGGGGGCGGAUUGCAUCGGGAAGGCAGCUUCUCUACCCCCACGCACGUCUGGAUCACGCCUGCCCAGAUGAGAAAGGACGUGAAGGCCUCCACCUGAUGCUGGUGUGCUUUUCUGGGCUCCCCAGCCUGCAGAACUGUGAGCCAAAUAAACGUCUGAUUUAUAAAUUA